AGAGACCCAAACGGCGCAAGAGAUACUUUUCUUCUUCUCCAACUAGUCGAUUCCAUCCUAACUCGCCUGAAAACUUGGAUAAGUUUAACUCAUACAGGCCCAUCUUCACCACGUCACCAAAGAUUCUAACCGAUUCUCACAGAUUUCCCCUUCCUCACAUACUUUCUCUUCAAUUUCUUUCGGACUUUUAGCCCUUCGAAUGGAAAUAAGAAAAAAUGGGGAGUAUUGGAUAGGAUUUGAUUUGAUCCACUCCCACCAUUUUUCCAUUUUUUCAUCAAAAGAAGGUAAAAUUUCAGAUUCGGGGCAAGAUAUUUUAUUGGGAGAUUUCUUGGAGAAGAGAGAAGAAGGUUCGAGAUUUUCUAGAGGCCUAUAUAAAGAGGGUUGAUAUUUUCAACAAAGGAGGAGGAAAAAUUGGGAAAAAACCUUCGAGACAGAUUUUUUUGAGGUCUUUUCGAAAGAAAAUUUUGAGAAAAAAACUUUAAGGUUAGGUCAAGUUACAACAUUCUUCGACUAUUUUUUUUAGUUAUGUUUUGGGAUAAAAGAUAUGCAAAUCCCUUCAGUUUCCUUGGAUUUCAAUAUCAGAAAAUACAAAAAUAUAGUCUUUCCUUCUAUUUCAAUCUGGGAAAUUUGGUUGUUAAAAUGGAUUUCAUUUGAAGCGUCUGGGAGUUUGUCAUUUGCAUUCGUGGUUUGUGGUUUUGUUUUUGAUUUCUACGGUUUAGAGCUGGCCGU
Molecule: long non-coding RNA, 729 nt
Filed under: Nicotiana benthamiana
Lineage: Eukaryota; Viridiplantae; Streptophyta; Magnoliopsida; Solanales; Solanaceae
Description: long non-coding RNA (NBEN_LNC022002)
Source: RNAcentral